GAAGGGGGUUCUGCAGCAGAUACCAACACACCUGACGGGGCUGAAACGGGUGAGAGACAAGGAGAGGACAUUGCCUGAGAGCAAAAAGUGGAAAACAAAGGCGAAGGACAGGAGGAUGAGGGAGGCACUUCUCAGCAUCAAUCCUCAAUACUUCCCGCGGAAGGUGUCGAAAGCCUUAACGAUACAUGUACGUCGAUGAAAUCUACCACUGAGAAGAUUUGCUUAAGCUGGCCUUUGGCUGUUCCUAUGUCAACGCCUAGGCAGCAAAGCAAUACUUUUACAAGGAGCGAAGACCUUAGCUCAAGCAAUAGAGAAAUUCA
Long non-coding RNA from Stylophora pistillata, 320 nucleotides. NCBI's taxonomy places the organism in Eukaryota, Metazoa, Cnidaria, Anthozoa, Scleractinia, Pocilloporidae. The record is from RefSeq and is a predicted model, not a curated record.